RNAcentral lists this transfer RNA (74 nucleotides) under Salmonella enterica subsp. enterica. RNAcentral describes it as "tRNA-OTHER". It matches the Rfam family "tRNA". From Rfam's summary of the family: Transfer RNA (tRNA) molecules are approximately 80 nucleotides in length. Their secondary structure includes four short double-helical elements and three loops (D, anti-codon, and T loops). Further hydrogen bonds mediate the characteristic L-shaped molecular structure. tRNAs have two regions of fundamental functional importance: the anti-codon, which is responsible for specific mRNA codon recognition, and the 3' end, to which the tRNAs corresponding amino acid is attached (by aminoacyl-tRNA synthetases). tRNAs cope with the degeneracy of the genetic code in two manners: having more than one tRNA (with a specific anti-codon) for a particular amino acid; and 'wobble' base-pairing, i.e. permitting non-standard base-pairing at the 3rd anti-codon position. The record is from RNAcentral. Lineage: Bacteria; Pseudomonadati; Pseudomonadota; Gammaproteobacteria; Enterobacterales; Enterobacteriaceae.
UGGGGUAUCGCCAAGCGGUAAGGCACCGACUUAUCUCCGGCAUUCCGAGUGUUCGAAUCCUCGUACCCCAGCCA